CGGGAAUCUGCGGCGCUGUGUAAACACUACGGGAGGAGGGGGGUAUUUGAGACUGAUUUUGUGGUAUUUUUCGACCGAAAAGUGCUAAUCUUUUUUGCUCACGGCAUUCUUUGGAAUGUGUAGAUUGUGGAACAAGUGCUGAAAUAUGCUUAUCUAUUGUAAUUUGGCUACGUUAGCCUUACCUAGACAUGUUGCACUGUUGACGCUGAUGAAGAAUAGGCGGCACCAAAGGUGGCUGGAACAACCCCAGUGCCGCACAGUUCUGCGGGAUAUUCCGGCACCUGCUCCACCGCUGCGGCGUCCGGCCCGGCAGCACAGGGAAAGUGGCAGCCCUCGACCCGACCAGCAUCCUGGCAGUCGGUCACACGACCAGCGGACGGGGAGCCAGCCUUACUACCUCGGCCUCCACCACCUCAGACAACGGUGCCACGGCACUCCACAUCAUCACGGAGCACGACUUCCAGCCUGGGCUGUCGUCUGGUGGGCAACAUCGUCACCUACAUCGCAGGGUUCGUGGUGAAGACGGCGCUCGACUCUGUCAGCUGUAGCACCUGUCAGGAGGCCCUGGUGAGCGACAUCCAGCCGGACGACAUGACACAGCUUUACCACCUCUUCAUCAUAUCUGCCAGAUGAGCUAAGGUGGGGACGGGUUACAUGCCUGGGAUCUGACUGAGACCCGCUCAUACCCUGCCGAAGUGUUGGUGAUUUCAGCGGUCAGCUGUCUCUAGCCGGUGUCGGUGAGUGGCGGCCAGCUGCCGCUGGAGUGGGUAUCUACCGUCGAUAGCUGCUGUGUGGCGGAUAGCGUGGAUUUGGAUGGACACUUCAUAUUAAUGAACAGAUCAAUGUCUGGCCGAUAAAAGACGUAUUUUGUCGAUGAUUGCUUAGUGACUGAGUGGGUCCACUGGCGACCAAUGCAGUGGGCGCUGGGUUAACGCCUCGCCUCUUGUGACCGUGUCGAUAUGUAGCACUGUUAAUUGCCGAUUCGUUGCCGGCCGUCUCUGCUCCGUGGCUGGCUGAUCCGGCACAAACUGGUGUUCGUGGCUGAAGGCGCGGCUACAGUUACACUAGCUCGCCACGUGCCUGUGCGACUAUCGUCGGUGCUGUCUGCAAGGGCGAUGUCGGUGCCUGUAGGGGGCGCGGAUUGAUUCAAAGUGAGGAAUGGGUCAUCGGAGCUCGGGUCAGGUCAUGUUCGGCUAAAAUAAGCGGAUUUUGCGAUUUGCCGCAUCCGGGUGAAUUUCCUUGCCUUCUAGUGCAUGUUUAUGCAUUUUACAUGCGUUUUUUUAGUGUUGAUGUCUAGAUAACGUGCAUUUGCCUCGAGGUCAAGGCUGCGCUUCAUAUGGGCAAUUUUCGGAGCAUCUUGCUCAUUUUAUUCGUAAUCCUUAAUUAUGUUUGCGGAUUUGUGCCCGCAAAUCAUUAUUUAAAAGUAAGAUUGACACGGGAUUCGAGAUCGGCGCCCAUAAAUACACUUCACAUGACCCGCCAUGUGUCAAGGCCAUCCGAGGUCAUCUAAGGUCGCUUACCUUGUAUGACCUUAUGUGACCCGGUUCGCUAGAUUUCGAGAUGAGGUUGAUUGGGAAUGAUGUAACCCAUUUCGCCGACAGUUCACGCGUUUUGGUCGAUUUUAUAGCGAAAGAUCUCAAACUCCAGUGACUUUACUGGUUCGAUUUCCAGUGUUUGACCUGACCUCUGAGUUCACCCGUUGACCUAGUACCCUGAAAUUUGGUAUCACUGGUUUACUCACAUCGCGGACAGCAUACCUAUUUUUUUUUCCGUUCUUGCUCCGUCGAGGGGCGAACGGCUGGAGUUCACUCCGUUCACCCUGGCUUCCCCUACUCGUAAGACGCUGACAAACUACGAACGGGUGAGGGCUAAAAUUGCACUUAUUGUCGAUCAUUGUCCAUUGCAUACUGCAUACAUAGAUAUAAAGUAUGGUAGCCAUAAUGGGAAACGAAUUUUAUCUUAAAUUAGCAUGCCAAUUGCAUCUACCUUCGGUGCCGCAUAUCCUUUAUCAGCGUCUUCAGGGCUAUAUGUCUAGGGCUGAUGUAAUUACAUUACUAUAAAUACACAUGUUUCUGCCCUUGUUUCACAA
RNAcentral lists this long non-coding RNA (2089 nucleotides) under Amphibalanus amphitrite. Its description in RNAcentral is "uncharacterized LOC122364541". The record is from RNAcentral. Lineage: Eukaryota; Metazoa; Arthropoda; Thecostraca; Balanomorpha; Balanidae.